UAUCUGACAGUUUAAGAUUUACAAUGGAAACCAUAAAAAUGUUAACAAAUUUUCUGACAUGAACAAGUCGUCGUUGACCAAUUUACAUUUCCUGGUGUUGUGUUUGAAUAUCUGUUAAAAUAUCUCCACCACAAAGAGGUGAGGCAAACUACAUAGUGAUUUAAAAGUUUUGUGAUUUGUUGAAAAUUAAAUUGCUUUAUUUUAAUAAACAGAUGAUUUAGUCGACCAUAACUUAAUUAGGUUUACUCAACUUCAACAGUUUUUUUUUUGUUAAUUACUUUGUUUUUUGUUGUAAAAUAAACAUUUACGCUAUCUAUCUACCCCUAUUCUGUGCCUAUACAACAUGUCAACUUCUAGCUUUAAAAGUUUUGAAUAAAUAAAACACUAAACAGAAAGUAUCUAAUUCAAUAUUUGCCAAAAAUACUAAAU
This 429-nucleotide long non-coding RNA is filed under the name Mytilus galloprovincialis (Mediterranean mussel). Lineage: Eukaryota; Metazoa; Mollusca; Bivalvia; Mytilida; Mytilidae. The record is from RNAcentral.